UACGUAGGUAGCGAGCGUUGUCCGGAAUGACUGGGCGUAAAGGGUGCGUAGGUGGCAUAGCAAGUUGGUAGUGAAAUUCCGAGGCUUAACUUCGGCGCUACUACCAAGACUGUUAAGCUUGAGUACAGGAGAGGUAAGUGGAAUUCCUAGUGUAGCGGUGGAAUGCGUAGAUAUUAGGAGGAACACCAGAGGCGAAGGCGACUUACUGGCCUGCAACUGACACUGAGGCACGAAAGCGUGGGGAGCAAAC
Molecule: ribosomal RNA, 250 nt
Filed under: uncultured prokaryote
Description: partial 16S ribosomal RNA
Rfam family: Bacterial small subunit ribosomal RNA
Source: RNAcentral